AACGAACGCUGGCGGCAUGCCUAACACAUGCAAGUCGAACGAGACCUUCGGGUCUAGUUGCGCACGGGUGCGUAACGAGUGGGAACCUGCCCUUAGGUUCGGAAUAACUCCCCGAAAGGGGUGCUAAUACCGGAUAAUGUCUUCGGACCAAAGAUUUAUCGCCGUGGGAUGGGCCCGCGUUGGAUUAGCUAGUUGGUAGGGGAAAAGCCUACCAAGGCUACGAUCCAUAGAUGGUCUGAGAGGAUGAUCGGCCACACUGGGACGGAGACACGGCCCAGACUCCUACAGGAGGCAGCAGGGGGGUAUAUGGCACAAUGGGAGGAAGCCGGAUGCAGCAACGCCGCGUGCGGGAUGACGGCCGUCGGGUUGCAAACCGCUUGCGCCGGUGACGAAGCGUGAGUGACGGUAAUGGGUAAAGAAGCACCGGCUAACUACGUG
RNAcentral lists this ribosomal RNA (438 nucleotides) under uncultured bacterium. RNAcentral describes it as "partial 16S ribosomal RNA". It matches the Rfam family "Bacterial small subunit ribosomal RNA", at positions 29 to 507 of the family's 1533-position model. The record is from RNAcentral.